Molecule: small nuclear RNA, 88 nt
Filed under: Balaenoptera musculus (blue whale)
Lineage: Eukaryota; Metazoa; Chordata; Mammalia; Artiodactyla; Balaenopteridae
Source: RNAcentral
GCUCACUUCGGCAGCACAUAUACAGACAAGAUUAGCACGGUCCCUGCACAAGGAUGACAUGCAAAUUCGUGGGGCAUUCCAUACUUUU